UUAGGAUCUCCAAAUCCACGUCUACUCAAAACGCAGUUUCCAAAAGCCCGUUUGAGAGAAUGGCUUCGGGUGAAUACAGAUUUCCCCCUCAGAAGCAGUACACACAGCCUGGCAAAGAGUAUCUGAUGAAUCCACCACCCCAAUAUAGCAGUCCAGAUUACAAACCAUCCAAUAAACUUCAAGGGAAGGUGGCUGUAGUAACUGGAGGUGACUCCGGAAUCGGAAGAGCAGUGUGUAACUUGUUUUCAUUGGAGG
This 255-nucleotide small RNA is filed under the name Vigna angularis var. angularis. RNAcentral's name for it is "Non-protein coding transcript". Lineage: Eukaryota; Viridiplantae; Streptophyta; Magnoliopsida; Fabales; Fabaceae. The record is from RNAcentral.